Triticum aestivum (bread wheat) is the source of this 1329-nucleotide RNA transcript. RefSeq lists it as uncharacterized. The record is from RefSeq and is a predicted model, not a curated record. The transcript has 2 exons. Lineage: Eukaryota; Viridiplantae; Streptophyta; Magnoliopsida; Poales; Poaceae.
CUCCUCCAUCUCCUCGUGCCCACCCCCACCUCCUCCCACCUUCGCCCCCAAAUCCUCUGGCAACACCGACGCGCAACGGCGCCGCCCUCCUGCGCCCACUCUGUCCACCACCCAGGGAACCUCCCCUGGCGAUGGAUCUGGCCCUGCUGUGCCCCUCCUUCACCGUGCUGGAUCCGCCGCCAGCCAACGGAUCCCGUCCGCUCUCGGCCAUCCUGCCGUCAGAGCUUCACCAUGUCGCGGGGGUGCGCGGCAGCACGACCACUGUCUAUCGGCGGCGACCCGUCCCCGAGCCCCCCUGCCCCCCUGUGGUCACCCUCUUCCUCUCGGGGUUGCCGCUCCUUCAUGCCGGCCAGGGCGAGGUGUUGUCCCGACAUGGUGGGCGCCAAGGCUUCGCCUCCUCCGGAUCCGGCGGCCAUGGCCUCUGCCGUCUCAUCUGCUGCUUCCCGCGAUUGUACCUCACGAAGAAGAUGGCGACUGUGGUGGCGACGCCUCGCGCCCCAAGGAGUAGGGGCAGCAGCGCUGGGGCGAAGGUUGGUGGCAGGAAGGACGGGCCCAAGUGCAGGGUGGUGCUGCCCAACAUUGUCACCGCCGGUGUGUAGUUCAGCUGGGCACUGCAGCUCUCCCUCCUCACCCAUGAAGUUCGCCGUCGACGCCCCCUGCACACUGCUGUUAAUUUUGGCCACUUCGUCCACAUCGCCAGUGCUUUUGAUAGGUGACCUGCAGUUCGCCCCCUCCCCUCGGCGGCCCAGCGGCCACCACAAGCCGGCGACGCUGCAGUUCAUUUUGGGUUGAUGUUGAAUUGAUCGGCGCUGAAGGCCCGUGCAGUCUGGUGUGGCACAAGCAUUCAGUAUGGGCGGCGGCGAGGUAGCUCAUGUAGUUCCUGUACGCGGUGCGUGCGGUUUGUUUGCACCCCAUGUGCACGAUGCAUGCAGGUCGUGUGUGUCGACGUUCAGUUCGCCGGGAAACUACAGAAGAAAAAAGAUCAUUUUUUAAAUUCAUUUUCUUCUUGAAUGUGUUAGAGAGAAAAUGUAAGAAAUUAUAAAAAAAGAUGCAGUCCGUUGGUGCACUGCUUGCGGCUCGCGUGGUUCGUCUGUGUAGUUUUUUAGAUUUUUAUUUGUAAAAAAGGUAUCUGGUUCAUUUUGUGGUGGUUUGUGCUUCACCUUAUGAAAAAAGAGGAAAAAGUAAUUCCCAUUAGAAAAAAAACAUCAGAGGCACACACUUGGGAAAUAGAGAAAGUGUCUGGUAUGUAAAUUUUUGAAGCUCACUUUGUAAUCUCAUGUAGUUCGCUAUAAAAUCCUUCAUGGUUCAUUUGGUAAACAGAAAACAAAA